CGCGGUAAUACGUAGGGCGCAAAGCGUUAUCCGAAUUAUUGGGCGUAAAGAAGCUCGUAGGCGGUUUGUCGCGUCUGCCGUGAAAGUCCGGGGCUCAACUCCGGAUCUGCGGUGGGUACGGGCAGACUAGAGUGAUGUAGGGGAGACUGGAAUUCCUGGUGUAGCGGUGAAAUGCGCAGAUAUCAGGAGGAACACCGAUGGCGAAGGCAGGUCUCUGGGCAUUAACUGACGCUGAGGAGCGAAAGCAUGGGGAGCGAACAGGAUUAGAUACCCUGGUAGUCCAUGCCGUAAACGUUGGGCACUAGGUGUGGGGGACAUUCCACGUUUUCCGCGCCGUAGCUAACGCAUUAAGUGCCCCGCCUGGGGAGUACGGCCGCAAGGCUAAAACUCAAAGGAAUUGACGGGGGCCCGCACAAGCGGCGGAGCAUGCGGAUUAAUUCGAUGCAACGCGAAGAACCUUACCAAGGCUUGACAUGAACCGGACCGGGCUGGAAACAGUCUUUCCCCUUGUGGGCUGGUUUACAGGUGGUGCAUGGUUGUCGUCAGCUCGUGUCGUGAGAUGUUGGGUUAAGUCCCGCAACGAGCGCAACCCUCGUUCUAUGUUGCCAGCACGUGAUGGUGGGGACUCAUAGGAGACUGCCGGGGUCAACUCGGAGGAAGGUGGGGACGACGUCAAAUCAUCAUGCCCCUUAUGUCUUGGGCUUCACGCAUGCUACAAUGGCCGGUACAAAGGGUUGCGAUACUGUGAGGUGGAGCUAAUCCCAAAAAGCCGGUCUCAGUUCGGAUUGGGGUCUGCAACUCGACCCCAUGAAGUCGGAGUCGCUAGUAAUCGCAGAUCAGCAACGCUGCGGUGAAUACGUUCCCGGGCCUUGUACACACCGCCCGUCAAGUCACGAAAGUUGGUAACACCCGAAGCCGGUGGCCUAACCCC
RNAcentral lists this ribosomal RNA (931 nucleotides) under Arthrobacter sp. SKC_PK58B. RNAcentral's name for it is "bacterial SSU rRNA". It matches the Rfam family "Bacterial small subunit ribosomal RNA", at positions 516 to 1442 of the family's 1533-position model. Lineage: Bacteria; Bacillati; Actinomycetota; Actinomycetes; Micrococcales; Micrococcaceae. The record is from RNAcentral.